GAAGGACGGGGGGCGAGAGCUAAUAACUAGACCGGGAGGCGAGAGCGUGCGGGUGCGGAGACUCCGGGCGGGAAGAAGGACGAGCGGGAAGGAUGUCUUGACCUGAAUGCAAUGCAGUCUCACACCCGGAAGUGGAUGCUGGACCCAAAGACAG
This 154-nucleotide long non-coding RNA is filed under the name Sus scrofa (pig). RNAcentral's name for it is "lncRNA (ENSSSCG00015078039.1)". The record is from RNAcentral. Lineage: Eukaryota; Metazoa; Chordata; Mammalia; Artiodactyla; Suidae.